UGAAAACCUCUGACCGGAAGUACUAGUUUUCCUCACUUCACGGGUGAUACAUUCAUGGUGGACAGUCUGCCUGCGUUGUAAAAUUGUAGUUACCGAUGGGGACGGAUAAUGUCCCCUAACACACUCUGCACCUCAACGGAUAAAAUAAGGGAAACACCACAUUGAAUUUGUCACAGCUAACGUUACAGAGGCAGCUGUUGGGUUGAUGGUCUGCCAGCUUCAGAGGAGACAGUCGACACAUCUACUUCCAGUAUGAGUGAGUUAACAGACUUUGACAGAGGCCAGAUAGUUGGUGCCCAAGUUGCAGGUCUGUCGGUCAGAAAAACUGCUCAGUUAUGUGAUGUAUCAAGUCAAACUGUCUUCAAAGUCAUGAGUGACUAUAACAAACACGGACACACUUCAUCAGUAAAGAAGAACUGUGGGCACAAGGCACAGACGAAAAGGAGAAGACUGACGAAAGCUACAACUAAUGGAGAAGUUGCCAGUGGGAAACCAGUAUCCAAGUCUGAUGAAGAGAGCCAGAUACCUGAAUCCCAGACCCAAGACAAGACACAGUGGUGAAUUUUUUCUUACCCUGGAUAUCUCUGCUUCAGUGUACAAAAUAAAGGAAUCACCAUAUGACUGAGGACAUUGGAGCAUCUAAGUAGAAAUUACAGGGCCUGCUGCCUGCCUGUAAAUUGGGAUUGCUUGCCGGCACCAAAAGAGACAGUCAACACUUAAAUAGUGUUUAAAGCAAUAUGAGUGACUUAACAGAGUUUGAACGAUGCCAAAUAGUCGCUGCGCGGCUGUCAGGGGCAUCUGUCACAAAAACUGCACAGCUUUUUAACGUGGCAAGGGGAACAGUCUCCAGAGUCAUGACUGUGUACGUCAAACACGGACGAACAGCAUCAGCAAAGAAGAACAGCGGGCGCAAGUCAAAGCUCACCGAAACGGAUAGACAGACACUUCUCAGGAUAGUCGAUGAGCACCCUGAGUAUACAGCCUCAAAAAUAACCACAGAGUUGAAUGGACAACUCUCUCACACCGUCUCAGUCAAAACUAUACGGCGUGAGCUUCACAAAGCUGGUAUUUUUAGAGGAGCAGCCAGUCGGAAACCAGAGACCGAGACUGACACACAGAAGCCAGAUGGAAAGAACACUAAACCUAAACCUGGCAAAGAGCGUGACACACAAAAACAUGGCGACGAGAGCAAAAGACCUGAAAUACAAACAAAUGACAAAGAGUGUGGCACACAAAAGCCCGUGGGAGACAAAACAAUACCUGAAUCCCGGGUUAGUGUCGAAGGGUCCAACACAGAAAAAGCCGGAGAGAGAAUACAACCUGAAUCCCAAGUCAGUUAAGAAGAGUACAUCACACAAAAGCCUGGUGAAGAGAGCACCCAACCUAAACCUCAGACCAGUGAAAAGGAAUAACGUGUUGUAUUUUCAGCCUUUCUUAUGCAUCCAGAUUGGUCAUAUUAAUAAUGGAAAACCACAGAAUGCCUACAUCCCUUAAUGUUGCCCACUGUUAAAUGUGACCAUGGAUUUCCGUUUCAAUAUGUUAUUAUUUAUUUUGUAUGAAUUUAAAAGGGUGCAAGAUUCCGGCAUAUCCCAAGCGUUGUUGUUUGUGUGGUUUGUGAGCAAACGUAACUUAACGGUAGACUAAAAAGUGAAAAAUGUCCAAAAUGUAAAUUAUACUGUUUGUUCCUGAUUUGUAGGCAGAUGUCAUGCAGAAUAAUUGUCUGUGUUGUACUGUAAAGCAUGGCCUUGUUGAGGUUAUAAUAUAUAUUAUUGUGGAUAAGGUGCGAAACCAAGCAACAACCAUAAUCCCAUAAGGGUCUCAAAAAAUAAAGUUCCUCUACUGCCACUGUAGAAAAAAUAAAUGCUUACUUUUUUUAAAUAUGAAGUCAUUUUUUAUUCCUGAGAUGUCAAGUUCUUAGUUGUGUGUCUCUAAAAUGUGUCUUCUAACAUGUCUUGGCUGUGAUUUUGAAAAAUAUGCAAUGUUUAAUUACGAAGACAUUAAGACUUGAAGAGAAGUACUGUGUGUUUUGGGGCGAAAGCUUCUCAGGUUAUCGUGCUCAACUGGUUGCUGCUUGCUCAUCCCAUCUCAGCUUCACCCAGACUACCCAAACCCAAACUCCAGGUUUUAGAACAUUCUUUCAGCAAACUAUAGGGUGGUUCAGAAAAAGCACUUGCGUCUACUUUUAUAAUGUCACUAUGAUAUGAUAAAUCUAAAUGUUGGGCACGUUCACAGGCACUACUUACUCUUUGCUGCAAAUGUAUGGAGUGACAAUUGAUGACCCCAACAUAAGGUAUCUGUAUUAUCAACUCCCAUGCUACCUUUGCUUUUGUAUACCAAAUUUCACGUUUUGUAGCACCUUCAUGCAGGGAUGGUAGACAAGCAUUUAGUGUCUAUGGUCUUUGCCUCUAGAAUAGCCAGAAGAGCUGAGGGAGUUACAAUCUGUAAAUACCUUUAAAAGGAACCUGAAAAUUUACCUUUUCAGUUUAGCAUUCAUCCAUUUUUUAUUUAAUUUCCUUGUAUUUUUAUUGUAUUGUUGUAUUGUUAUGCACCUUGUAUUGCAAUUUUGUACAAAAGGUGCUAUUUAAAUAAAGUUUAGAUUGUUUGUAUUGUAAU
Molecule: long non-coding RNA, 2613 nt
Organism: Sander lucioperca (pikeperch)
Lineage: Eukaryota; Metazoa; Chordata; Actinopteri; Perciformes; Percidae
Exons: 4
Source: RefSeq, a predicted model, not a curated record